RNAcentral lists this ribosomal RNA (92 nucleotides) under uncultured bacterium. RNAcentral's name for it is "partial 16S ribosomal RNA". The record is from RNAcentral.
ACCGCCCGUCACACCAUGGGAGUUGUUGCACCAGAAGCAGGUAGCCUAACCGCAAGGGGGGCGCUUGCCACGGUGUGGCCGAUGACUGGGUG